Tyto alba (common barn owl) is the source of this 535-nucleotide long non-coding RNA. RefSeq lists it as uncharacterized. The transcript is spliced from 3 exons. NCBI's taxonomy places the organism in Eukaryota, Metazoa, Chordata, Aves, Strigiformes, Tytonidae. The record is from RefSeq and is a predicted model, not a curated record.
UCUGGUACAGCUUUUUCAUGUUGCAGGAUUCUAAUAAUAUAAGUGCUUGUAGGCCGUAAUCAAAGUACCUCUUAAUAGAAUAAACUUAUUCAGUGGACUAUAAAUGAAAUUAUUACAUUACUCUGAGGUCCUCAAAGCAUAAGUAGGGGGUUGUACCUACAGUGUAGUUAAUUAUAUCCUAUGGCAUCUUAAUGUAAAAUCCUUAUCAGCAUUUGGACCAGCGCACAGUCAGGAUUCCCGAGGGACACAUCCUGCACUUUACUAUGGGAACAGACUUACCUCUCUCUGUUCUGCUGCUUUCCACUCCCAAGGAACCACUGGAACGGAGGAAUGGAUGGAAUGGUUGCACCCAACCCAGCAUAGCAGUUGUCACUUCAACACUCCCCCAGAAACAAGGCAGAGCAUCCCCUGCACUCAAAGAGACCAGCAAUAAAAGAGGACUUGAAAGUUCAACGUCCCACUGAAGAGCAAAAGAGCAGAGACAAAUGCAGUUUUAAUCUGUUUUGGUGCAGGCACAUGUAUCCCACGGUUCUGC